Nothobranchius furzeri (turquoise killifish) is the source of this 2034-nucleotide long non-coding RNA. RefSeq lists it as uncharacterized. NCBI's taxonomy places the organism in Eukaryota, Metazoa, Chordata, Actinopteri, Cyprinodontiformes, Nothobranchiidae. The record is from RefSeq and is a predicted model, not a curated record.
UAAAAAGGGGGAAAUGGGAUUGUGAUCUUGACAUGUAUAUAUUUUACAAAGCUAACAUGAUUAUUUUUUGUUUCUUGCUUUAACAUAACAAAGUCUUAAACACAUAACAUAUUCCUUGAUGUUGUUAGAUGUAAAUGUAAUUUUCAUGUUGAAACAACAUGUUCGGAUCAUGUUUAGGAGUACACUCCGCCCCCUUCGAGGAGUGACGUUUAAAACACUUGCUGCUCACUCAUUUCAUCCGCCAUUUUCUGUGUCGUUGGGAAAAGGGCUCUUUGCUGAACAUGACUAGCUUGACGAGUUAAGUCCGUGGUGCAGGCACAAGUGGAGUAAUUCUUGAUUAAAGAAACAGAAAAAAGGAUUUCUUGAUCUGCAGAGUCUUGUGUAUAGAACUUUGAACCACACCACGUGAAGGCUCUGUAGCAGUGGCCGCAGAUGAGGACUACCUCCAGACGUCCAUUGAGGAGACUACCCUGGGAAUCUAUGUGGUGAGAAGUGUACUGACCAAUACAGCGGAAGACAUUGGGAUUGUGCUUGAAGGCCAAAUAGUAUUCCAAGACCUGGAUAACAUAGCAUUAGCUACAGCUGUGCUAUUUGGACUCAUCUAUGCGCUGAACCUGAACUACCCUCCCAGUUUGAAGUACACAUUUGAAGUACUGCAGAAACUAGUGAUGGAGCUCAAAGGAAACACUCUUUCAAAGAAAGUCCAACUUCUCAAAAAUAGACUCUGCGAGUGAGAUGUUUUUACUGAUGUAACCUAAAGAAUUUUCCAGCCUUUAGGGGUCAAUUUCCUGCUCUGUUUUCUACAGACAUAUUCUCUCAUUCACAAUAAUUUUUCUUCUACAAUUUAGUCGGAGUCAAUGAGAUUCAGAAACAACGUGGCCUAAACCAUGCGAUCAGACUUUAAUUUAUUGAUCCAUUAUUCAGCAAUGAGUUUAUGAACAUUACUUCCAUGGAUGAAGUCAGGACAGAGGGACAAUUCGAAUUAUAUCCACGACAGGGAAUUCCUUUACAGGCUGAAUUCCCCGGCACUUCAGCAAAUGACUUAAAUACUUGUGUUGCUGAAACAUCCCUUCUUUUAAGUGGUUGUGUUGACAUGGGUAUUCUUGCCUCAAACGAAUUGGAUGCAUCCAGUUCAUCAGUUUCCAGGACAUUCUGGCCCUCUGUGUUUAACAUUACACGGUUUUCCUUCGACACAGAGAUAAAGCUGCAGCGUGGAAAUGCCAGACACAAAGAAGGCUAGGCUAACAUGUAAGUUUUUUGUUUGUUAAUGCAGGCAACUCUUUCCACAGUAAUACAUUACAAAUAUAUUAAUACAUUAGUAACACAGUACUUUUUUGUAAAUUUCUUGGGUUUCCUGGAAAAAAAAUUUAGCUUGUGAGAUGAUGUUACCUUUUGUGAUCUUUUAACUUGCUUCCUGUUGACAGGUUUUUUUUUGUAAGUAAUUUCUCAAUUCAGAAGGUUUGCCAGUAAUGAAACUUUGGUGUGACUUGUGAAAAUGAGCCCCUUUUGUGACUAAUCAGUUAGUUCAUGUUUUUUAUGAAGGAAGUAUUUGCACAAAGGGUAAGACCAAAUAGUCCUCUGUGAUUUGGAUAGUUGUCCAAUUUAGCCAAAUAAAGGCCAAUUUUGUUUGGAUAGCGUUAAUUAAAAAAAUGAGAUUUUUUUUUCCUAAGGUAUUCUUGAAUAUAAAGUGUUCUUGAUAAUCAGAAGUAAUAGAUUAAGAUUUCAGUUUGCUGUGUGUAAUUUAAACUGUUCAUGAGUGGGUAUGUUUAUUCGAGUUCCGGAGUAAAGUUUCCAGUAUCCACUUUUAAUAUCAAUAACUACCAGGUUGUGGGAGUACUCUGCUUUUGGCUACAGAGACAAAUGUUUAAAUUUGGUUGUUUUUUUACAUCAUUCUGUAAACUCAGUUUGUGAUUGUAAAGCAAAUUUUUAAACUCACAAUACUGUUGAAUGCAGUGGAGUUAUGUUUCUUUAAUUGUACCACAAGUAUGGAAUCGUAUUUGUAAAUUCAAAUAAAACAAUUGUGCAGAUGAUUAA